Molecule: ribosomal RNA, 481 nt
Filed under: uncultured bacterium
Lineage: Bacteria
Description: SSU rRNA
Rfam family: Bacterial small subunit ribosomal RNA
Source: RNAcentral
AGGACGAACGCUGGCGGCGUGCUUAACACAUGCAAGUCGAACGGAAAGGCCCGCUUGCGGGUACUCGAGUGGCGAACGGGUGAGUAACACGUGGGCAACCUGCCCUCAGCUUCGGGAUAACACUUGGAAACAGGUGCUAAUACCGGAUAAUAACCUUUCAUCGCAUGGUGUGGGGUUCAAAGUUUUUCGGCUGGGGAUGGGCCCGCGGCCUAUCAGCUUGUUGGUGGGGUAAUGGCCUACCAAGGCGACGACGGGUAGCCGGCCUGAGAGGGCGACCGGCCACACUGGGACUGAGACACGGCCCAGACUCCUACGGGAGGCAGCAGUGGGGAAUAUUGCGCAAUGGGCGGAAGCCUGACGCAGCGACGCCGCGUGAGGGAUGACGGCCUUCGGGUUGUAAACCUCUUUCAGCUCUGACGAAGCGCAAGUGACGGUAGGAGCAGAAGAGCACCGGCCAACUACGUGCCAGCAGCCGCGGUAA